Molecule: ribosomal RNA, 230 nt
Filed under: uncultured bacterium
Lineage: Bacteria
Description: partial 16S ribosomal RNA
Rfam family: Bacterial small subunit ribosomal RNA
Source: RNAcentral
CGGGGUAGAGUAAUGUCUGGGAAACUGCCUGAUGGAGGGGGAUAACUGCUGGAAACGGUAGCUAAUACCGCAUAACGUCGCAAGACCAAAGAGGGGGACCUUCGGGCCUCUUGCCAUCGGAUGUGCCCAGAUGGGAUUAGCUAGUAGGUGGGGUAACGGCUCACCUAGGCGACGAUCCCUAGCUGGUCUGAGAGGAUGACCAGCCACACUGGAACUGAGACACGGUCCAG